CAGCUGUUUGACAGUAGGCAGGUUACCUCACUUCUCAGUUUAGAUAUCUCCUCUAUGAAAUGGAAGGAAUAAUACCAACCUCACAGAUUUCUUAUGAAGAUCAAACAAGAUAAUCCAUCCAACCUCUCUGGGCCUGGAUCCUGCUCCCAUAAAUGAGCCUUCUGCAGCCUGGCCACAUGUAGCCAACCCUCCUUUACCCUUAUCUACUCAGACCUUGGAAUAUCUCUUACCUGGCACCAACUGAUGCCAUAACCAUAACAGAGGUUGCUAUCAUUUAGACUCUGCUUUAGACACUUACCCCAGGUUUAAACUCUCAUAUAGGACAGUUCCUCCAAACCCCAUCCUGAGUCCCUCACAUAAGCCAUUGUCUCUUGCUCACUAGCCGUUCUGCCAACUCAGAAAACUGUAGUCCCAUUUUGCCUCAGGCCAUACGCUUAGGAAUUUAAGAGGCUCAAUAAAAGCAAUGGUCUUGGCAUGUAUUUUCCAGAAAAUAUUUACUGUCAGUAAAGGAUGAAGUUUCUCUGAGAUUUUAGAGUGAGACGUGGGUGGCAUUAUAUAGGAACCAGCCCAGAAGCAAUAAGGCAAUCAGUGGAGAGGUAAGCUUGCUCCCAGCUGGACGUAGGAUUCCAUGUCCAGAGUCCAUGGCUGAUUAUUACAGGGGACCAAGACUAGGGAAGAGAAAAUUGUCAGGAAGUUCACAGAGACUUCAGGAAAUAGGUCAACUGCCAUCCUUACCUCUCCUUUACCAGGAGGAGACUAAAAAUCCACAAUCAGGUCUACAGAAGUACACAAUAGAUCCACUGUAGCUGUAGGAAUCAAGACUCAGGCUCCAGGAAAGUGGAGUGGCACCAUGGCUUCAGGAACACCAAGAGUCAGAGUUGGUUUGCAGAACCACAUUCUUCUGGGAGUUCUACAACAGUCUUGCCUCCUUCACUGCACCCAGGGAGAAGAAAGGCUGGCAGAAGCAAAGCAACAAGCAAAGAGAACCCUGAUAAGAGCAUGGAGCAGGGCAGGCCUUCUCCAACAGAGGUUGAACUUUGAGACCCAAAUGUAAUGGAGUCAAGUAGGCAUUCUGGCUUCCCCCCAGGGCCCCUCAAGGAUAACUCUACCUGAUAGAAUCCCUGAAGCCUUUGAGCCUCUCUAUGACCUCUGACAACGGCUUCUUCCAAGCUCCCAUUGGAACUUGCAUAAGAGCAGCUACACUGGUUGAAUGGAGUCAAUAUGCCUGGGAAGGAGGGAGGCAGCUGUAACUGGAAGUUCACUAGAAAAACUGGGAUAGGGAUACAGUGUGGACAAGAGCUAAGAGAAGACCCAAGGAUAACUGUCAAAUCUGACAUUCUAUUACUUGUUCUAAAAGAUGACUAUCUACAAAUCAUCCCUAGGAUACCCAAGUUCACAAUAUUGCUUAAUGCAAUUAAAAAGAAGUAACACUCUA
This is a long non-coding RNA of Herpailurus yagouaroundi (jaguarundi), 1435 nucleotides long. RefSeq lists it as uncharacterized. NCBI's taxonomy places the organism in Eukaryota, Metazoa, Chordata, Mammalia, Carnivora, Felidae. The record is from RefSeq and is a predicted model, not a curated record. The transcript is spliced from 2 exons.